Molecule: transfer RNA, 76 nt
Filed under: Rhodospirillaceae bacterium
Lineage: Bacteria; Pseudomonadati; Pseudomonadota; Alphaproteobacteria; Rhodospirillales; Rhodospirillaceae
Also listed under: 5 other names
Description: tRNA-Val
Rfam family: tRNA
About the family: Transfer RNA (tRNA) molecules are approximately 80 nucleotides in length. Their secondary structure includes four short double-helical elements and three loops (D, anti-codon, and T loops).
Source: RNAcentral
GGGCGGUUAGCUCAGCUGGGAGAGCACCUCGUUUACACCGAGGGGGUCGGCGGUUCGAGCCCGUCACCGCCCACCA